UCCAGACUCCUACGGGAGGCAGCAGUGGGGAAUAUUGCACAAUGGGGGAAACCCUGAUGCAGCGACGCCGCGUGAGUGAAGAAGUAUUUCGGUAUGUAAAGCUCUAUCAGCAGGGAAGAAAUACUGACCUUACGGUCAGCAGACGGUACCUGACUAAGAAGCCCCGGCUAACUACGUGCCAGCAGCCGCGGUAAUACGUAGGGGGCGAGCGUUAUCCGGAUUUACUGGGUGUAAAGGGAGCGUAGACGGCAGCGCAAGUCUGAAGUGAAAUCCCAUGGCUUAACCAUGGAACGGCUUUGGAAACUGUGUAACUGGAGUGCUGGAGAGGUAAGCGGAAUUCCUGGUGUAGCGGUGAAAUGCGUAGAGAUCAGGAGGAACACCGGCGGCGAAGGCGGCUUACUGGACAGUAACUGACGUUGAGGCUCGAAAGCGUGGGGAGCAAACAGGAUUAGAUACCCGUGUA
This 463-nucleotide ribosomal RNA is filed under the name uncultured bacterium. Its description in RNAcentral is "bacterial SSU rRNA". It matches the Rfam family "Bacterial small subunit ribosomal RNA", at positions 330 to 792 of the family's 1533-position model. The record is from RNAcentral.